Gorilla gorilla gorilla (western lowland gorilla) is the source of this 5573-nucleotide long non-coding RNA. RefSeq lists it as uncharacterized. The record is from RefSeq and is a predicted model, not a curated record. The transcript has 3 exons. NCBI's taxonomy places the organism in Eukaryota, Metazoa, Chordata, Mammalia, Primates, Hominidae.
AGAAUGAAGAUGGCUUCCUGUCCCGCUAGCGUCACGUCGGGAUCUGCCUUCACCAAGGCCUUCACUCGCGCCAGAGGCAACCUCGAGAGACGAGCCCCAGGCACACUCGUUGGGGCCUGGGGCUGCGAGGCCGCUGCCUCCCCAGCAGGUUUAUUAUAUAGGUAAAUUGCAUGUCAUGGGGAUUUGGUGUACAGAUUAUUUCAUCACCCAGGUCCCAGGCCUAAGGACAGCCAUACUGUGGGACAUUCUCUUCUCAUGGCAGAGAGCAGAAGCUCAAGAGGGACGAACCAAAAUAUGCCUUGUCUCAUAACCUUGUGCUUAGAACUGGCACUUUGUCGCUUCCACCCAUGUUCCACAGAUCAAAGCAACAAUUAAGGCCAAGCCCCACGUCAGUGGAGCAGGGGUGCACGUGUCCCUUCAGGGAGAAUGGGCAAGUCAUACCAUGGGCAGGGCUGUGUCACCCUAUUACAGGGGGAACUAGGAGUUGGGAACAACAGUUCUUUCUACCACAGAUUUAGAGUGUACUCUUUUGAGGAACUUGAUGGUAAAAGUAAACAGAGCAGUAACUAAAGGAAGAUAAGAAGCCAACUAUGGCUUCCAUUUUGUUUUAUUUUUCAAGUAGGAGACAUUUGAGUAAGUUUAUAUAUUACUGGGGAAGGAGACAGAAAGUAGGAGCAAUAAAAAUACGGAAAUGAAAAGAAAGAAGUGAUGAACAUCACUUCGACAAUUCUUCACUUUCAAAACCCAAACUGUAUCACCCGGGGUCCAAUUAAGACACAGAAACCACACUAUAAUUUGGUUGGGGAAAGUUUAAUAUUAAAAUAAUUGGCUGCUAAGCAGUAACAAAAGAGAAUUGGCUGCUAAUGGGGUAACAAGAAGUCUAAAGAAUAGAGGACUGACAUGUACAGAAAGCAGCCACUAUCCCCAGAGCUGAGGCAGAGCACACAAGGAUGGAAUGACUAUGGAAAAGCAGCCCCCACUACCUGAGCUGAGAUCCAGACCUUGAUGGGAAGUACACAGCCAUGACUUACUGGGUGGUGCAGUCACGGAGGGGCCUCCUGGCAGGACUCACUGACAAUUCACCUUCUGGGGUCCUGAGAGAAGAUGCCUAUGGAAACACAUGCUGCUGGUCACUGGUCACUGUGCACUACAAAAGUCUGCCUAGAAAAAAAAAAAAACAUUAAACUAGGAAAUACUGUUCAUCCUCCAGUGUCCCCUACUGAUGAAGCAUAUAACAUCAUACUAGCUAAGCAAGGGGAAAGGUUCCAAUAUCACAAGCAAGCAAUGAAGGUGGGUUUGGAGCUGAGAGGCAAGAGGUGAUAACCAGCACCCCAACCCUGGUGAAAUCAAAUUCUAUGCCUAUUCCACACCGGCCCCUAUGCAGCUAUAUGCGGCUAGAGAAAGCAACAACAAUAUCAACAACAACAACCCAACUGAUUGGUCCAACUGGUCUUGUCAUUAGGUCUCAAAUGGUCAUUAGUGUGGCCAGAAAUCCUAUCACAUUUUCAUGCUGCUCACUAAUCUGCUCACCUGGAUGAUUAUUUGACACCUUCUCCUCACUCCUCAAACAUACAACACCUUUUCCCCAACCCACUCACUCUCUCCAUGGUGAACUUGGUUCCUAUUUCACAAAGAAAAUAGAAGCAUUGGGAACUUUUGCAAGCUCGCACCACCACACCUGCACACCUACCAGUAUCUGCACCCACAUCCUUUGCCUUCCCACCAGCUAAGUGACUGAGAUGUCAGGGCUCCUCUCUAAGGACAUCCUCUCUACUUCUCCAUCGGACUCCCAUCGCGUCUUGCCUACUCAAGAAAAUCACUCUGCUUCUCUCUCUUUCUCUCUCUCUCUCUCUCCUUUCCCUACAUCAUCAAUUUCUCCCCUCCACUUGACCAUUUCUAACAGAAUACAUGAAUGCAUCUAAAAAAUACACACACUCUUUACCCCACACCCCUCCAACUUCUGCCUCACUUCUUUUCUCUUAUUUAGAGAAAAAGUCCUUUUUAUUAACUUGUCUAUAUUCAUUGUCUCCAAUUUUUCUCUUCUAACUCCGCUUGCACUUACUCCAGUGAGGUAUUUAUCACCACCAGGCCACUGAGACAAUAUUUUCAAGAUCACCAGUAACCAGGGCCACCCCUAGUACACAAAGCCCUAAAAAAAAAAUUUUAUAAGACCCUUGCCUAUCUAAACAAUUUAAUUUAAAAAGGUAUUUCAAAAUGUAUGGGCCUAUGUGAGGUGCUGACAUUUGUCAAUGAAGAUUUAGAAUAAUCCAUAGAGAAGAGGUACUUACAAAUGUGUUUAUUAUUCUAUCACUGCACAUGAAGAUUCUUCAUAGAGUCCAGACACCAGCUAUUCCUGUUCAGAUCCAGGAAAUAUCUGCCCAUGCUCUUUUGGUUAAUGUUUUAUUUCCUAUUGUGAGAAAGAGGCAGCAACAUUGUUGUCACUCACAAUGUCAUGGCUUUUGGAACCUGUUUGUAUUGAAACAAUAUAGUUUUGGGUUUUGGUUUUGUUUUUUCGCCUCUGCGGUUCUCUGAUACCAUUUGUCUAAUGUUGGUUGCAUCUUUACUGAUGGUGCUGCAUCAUUCAUCGUGGUACCUGCAAAUACUGGCAUCCAACCACUCUCUCAGAGGUUGUUUCUGUACUUCAUUAAUAAUGACCAAAAUGCAAGCCUUACCCAGAAUAUUCAGGAAAGUAUGAAUGAUAAUUUAUUUUUCAUUUGGAGUUUUAUAGUGUAACCAUAAAGUGACACAUCUUCCAACCAUGUAUUCUCUUGAAUUCUUCAGGCCAUUAUAACUACAUUCUUAGAAUGUGAUCCCUUUCAACAUUUCCUGCACCUCUGCUUCUGCACACUACCACCAAAAGACAAGAAAGGCAAGGAGACAUGACUGGAGCAAGAAAAACAGUGUUUUUCACACAAGGAUGUCCAUUCCUUGUUGGGAAUGGCUUAAGAUCGACCUGGGAAAGCAAAACAUCGCCAUAUCGUUUGGAGGCAAGGCACUGGUUGGAAGAGCCUGUUGGUGUGGCAAAGCCAAGGUCUUUAAAGUCCUCAGAGAAGGCAGGCACAGCCACCACUGGAGGACUUCCUGAUGUAUGGUACAGAGACUGAUGAGGGCAUGGGGUGACAACCUUAGGUGCCAACAGCAAGGGGAUGGAUAUACAGGGUAAAGGAGGCUUGCUGCCAUCCUAUGCCUUUGAACGCCACAAAUCAGAGAUGGUACCAUGGAGGAACAUGAACAGGUGAGAGCUGAGGCAUGGGUGCCCACACACAGCCCAAGCCCAGGUGCUAACAGUUGACCAUCAGUAGCCCAGUGCCCCGAAUUCAUCCUGCGCCUGAUGUGAGGAUCACCCAAAAGCAGUGCAUCGGCACCAUUCUGGUGACUCAAUAUCACACAAUGGCACCAGCCAGCAGGAACAAUCCAAUUGCCAGGCUGCCCUCCUGGACAGAGCCCAAGCCACAGAGCCCUCAGAUAACUCCAUUGAUGCAAAUCUCAGAGUUCCUCAAGGAAACAGGUCAACCCUGCACAUGGAGUGGAGAUUCAGAAAGGCCCCAAAAAGGAAAAAAACAAGGAUCAGUGUCCAUGUAUGCCCCUGUAUGGGGCUGCCGUUUGUCCUAACCACCCUGGGGUCUGCCAUAGCUGAGCCAGCCCUACUGGAAGAGGAUAGUCAAAUAACCUCACUCGUAUUCUUUUGCCACUUACUGUGUUGCCCUAGCUUCCCUCCAGGGGAUCCUCGUUUUGUCCUAGGCUCAACCUUACCUUUGAUCACUUUAGGACUCAGGCACAAGAUUUCACAUUGCUGGGAAUCCAUUUUCAGUCUUUGAAAAGACACAGCGAUUCUUCAGGAAGUUUGUUAUCCCAAAGAUGCAACAGAGACAGAAUUUCCCAGCUUGAAGGGAUUUGAAACAUCCAUAAAGUUAUAGAAAUUCAUAUCUGGAGGAGUCUUAACGGUCAUUCAGACCAACGCUUUCUCGGGUAUCUAUAACAUCCAAUGCCCUAGUUUCCCUGCUAUCUUUUUUGGCCACUUUUCAAUCUCCUUUGCAGGCUACCCUUUACGGGCUCAGUCUCCACACUCUUUUGUUCUUUCUAGAUUUUCCCCUGGUGACCUCACCGAGGCCUAUGGCUUUAAAUACCAUCCAUAUGCUGAUAAUUCCCAAAUUUAUAUUUCCAGUCCCAAGCUCUCCACUGAGUUUCAGGCUCAUAUAUCCAAAUGUCUACUUCUUGCCUUCAGUAUAUCUUACAAACCUCUCAAGUUUGACGUGCCUAGAACAGGACUCUGGAUUUUACCUUUUGCCCGUAUCAACAAGUUCCUCUUAGUCUUCCAAUCACAGAAAGGGCUCCACCAUCAAGAUGGACACGAGCCUAAAACCCAAGAAUUCUUGUUUCCCUGCCUUCCUUUCCUUCUCUCACAUUCAGUCUCCUGGUAGACUUGUUCAUUUACUUCCACCAUUUCUAUCUACUUCUCUUCAUCUCCAGUGCCAACAUUCUUGUCCAAGCCAUCACUGUCUCUCCCCGAACCACUCCAAUAGCAUCCUAACUGGUUUUCCCCACUCUUAUCUCAUCUCAAUCCAUUCUCUGCAUAUUAGCUGAAGUGAUCCUUUCAAGAAGUGAAUACAAACCUUAAAUCUUUCAACAGCCCUCACUGCAUCCAGAAUAAAAUCCAAGCACCUAUAACUGCCUAAUAUGGCUUCUGUCCACAUCUAACCUCAAAUCUUAACUUCUGCCCUUGCUGUGCUCAAGCCUUUCUGGCCUUUCAUUUCCUUAAACACACCAAGCCUUUCCAGCAUCAGAGACUUUACAAUUCUUCCUGGAAUGCUCUUCCACUAAUUUCUUUAGGUCAUAGUUUGUGGUCAUUUGAAAACAUGUCCACAAACUCUUUUCUAUCCUACAAAAAUGGGGAAUCCAAUUCCCCUCCUCUUGAACAUGGACUAGCCUCAGUGGCUUGCUACUAAUGAAUUAAAUGGUAUAGAAGUGACUGUGUAACUUCUUAGACUAGGUAACCAAAGAUGGCACAGCCUCCACCUGGUUCUCUGUCUUGUGAGGCUCACCCUUGGAACCCAGCCAUCAUGCUGUGACAAAGCCAUGUACCACAUGCAGGUGUUUCAGGGAACAGACCUGUCAGAGGUCCUUGCCAACAGCCAACAUCAGUCAGCAUCAACCACUAGACAUGUAAGUGAGGAAGCCUCCAGAUGAUUCCAUUUCCCACCUUCAGCUGAUGUUAGGUGGAGCAGAGACAUGCUGUCCCCACCUGCCUAAACUGCAGAUUCAUGAGUAAUGUAAUUUCUGUCAUUGUUUUAAGCCAUUAAGUUUUGGGGCAGUUUGUCACGUAGCAAUAGACAACUGGAACACAGCUCGUAUGCCCCUUCUCAGAACUGCCCUCCCUGAUCAUCCUGUCUAAGUGCCCAUUGGCAUUAUCCAUAACCUGAAAAUUAUUAUGAUUGAUCCUAAUGUCCAGCCUGGUGCCUGGCACAUAGGAGAUGCUCAGUGAAUAUUUGUGGAAUGAUUGAAUAAGGAAAUGAAUCCUCUUGUCACAUUUGAAGUUAUCAGUCAUCAAUAAAAUGAGGAUUUGUUUCAUCGUU